This 353-nucleotide small RNA is filed under the name Pleurotus ostreatus PC15. Its description in RNAcentral is "5' ureB small RNA". It matches the Rfam family "5' ureB small RNA". The record is from Rfam by way of RNAcentral. Lineage: Eukaryota; Fungi; Basidiomycota; Agaricomycetes; Agaricales; Pleurotaceae.
CUUCGGUGACUUGUUGCGGGCAGAUGUAGUGGACAUGGACGUCUACAGCGCCUGCUGUGACGAUGAGCUUUUCGCCUGCAAUCACUUCGGUGGAGGAACCAAUGACGAGGGAAGGAUGGACGCCGGCCAUGACGUCUGGGUUCCCCGCUUUGCCUAUACCGACAAUGAUUCCGCUUCGGACUCCAAUGUCUGCCUACACCAACACGAGAUGAGAUAUAACGGGUGUGAAUGUGAGACCAAAAAGAAUUACCUUGUAAAUCCCGGACCAGUCGACGAUGAGGCAAUUCGUGAUGACGAGGUCGAGCGUAGAGGAAGAAGAACGGUUCGUAGCUUGGCCCAUACCCUCGCGAAUG